UGUUUUCAUGUAUUUUUUUUGAUAGGUUAAAAUUAUAUGUAAGUUUUUGCAUUUGAGAGAUAAUGGAGUUAUCCUAAUUUGAGCUCAAUUAUCUCUCAAUUACAAAGGCUCUUGGGAAAGAAACCCUUGUGUUUUUUUGUGUUUCUGAUUUGGAAACCACAUGCUGGGCAAUGCAUAAAAGCCGAGUGUGGCAAGAUAAAGUCAGUUGUGCUCUCAGAACUGUGUGUCGUCCAACUGCUGGAGAGGAGGUAGACUAUUUACUUGGCAUGUUCUUGUCUCUGAUUCUACUCUUGGUGAUCCAGCAGAGGAAAGUUCCUGUUAGGACUCGGGCUCCACUACACUGGGAACACCAAUACAUUUUGGAGAUGCUCUGAUUUAGUUGUCUAGCCAGAGAGCAAAAAAUGGGUCGCAAGAGUAUUCUGAGAACGGACAGCAGCUAAAAUAGCCUGCCCUUCGGUGGGUCCCCGCUGAGAACUCAAGCUGGUGUUAGCUCAUCUUGUG
Non-coding RNA from Pelobates cultripes (western spadefoot toad), 501 nucleotides. NCBI's taxonomy places the organism in Eukaryota, Metazoa, Chordata, Amphibia, Anura, Pelobatidae. The record is from the annotation of a GenBank genome assembly.